CAAGGCAUGCUAUUUUUAUCGAUUAGCUACUUUCUUUUCUUGGUAUAAAUUUUUGAAGUGUUAGGGAGUUGCAGAUUCUGUGAUCGCGCAUUUGAUUUUUUGAGAGUCCAACACUCUGGUUCCUAAUUAAUAAUUAAUGCAUUUUCUAAACAUGCUGUGUGCCGGAUAUCGAGGUAGUCUGGGUGAGGCCGGUUCAGCCCUGACCCAUGACCUCCUUCAUGCUCUAGACCAGGUCAGAAGCAGGCAUGGAGAUCUGCACCAUAGUGCAAGGGGAGAGGGGGAUUUUUCAUUUUAUUGUCAGUUAUCUAGGGUACGCAUGCAACCAUGGGAAUAUACCUAAUGCCAAGGGAACUUUUGUGGUUGCUGGAUAUGUCUAUUUACAUUAAAAUUCAUGUUUGGUGGCCGAUAUUGACAUCAGGUCUGAGAAAUAGAGGUGGAUGGGGAGCACGCACUUUAAAUU
Long non-coding RNA from Lolium rigidum, 460 nucleotides. RefSeq lists it as uncharacterized. Lineage: Eukaryota; Viridiplantae; Streptophyta; Magnoliopsida; Poales; Poaceae. The record is from RefSeq and is a predicted model, not a curated record. The transcript is spliced from 2 exons.